GAUGAACGCUGGCGGCGUGCCUAAUACAUGCAAGUCGAGCGAACGGACGAGAAGCUUGCUUCUCUGAUGUUAGCGGCGGACAGGUGAGUAACACGUGGAUAACCUACCUAUAAGACUGGGAUAACUUCGGAAAACCGGAGCUAAUACCGGAUGAUAUUUUGAACCGCAUGGUUCAAAAGUGAAAGACGGUCUUGCUGUCACUUAUAGAUGGAUCCGCGCUGCAUUAGCUAGUUGGUAAGGUAACGGCUUACCAAGGCAACGAUGCAUAGCCGACCUGAGAGGGUGAUCGGCCACACUGGAACUGAGACACGGUCCAGACUCCUACGGGAGGCAGCAGUAGGGAAUCUUCCGCAAUGGGCGAAAGCCUGACGGAGCAACGCCGCGUGAGUGAUGAAGGUCUUCGGAUCGUAAAACUCUGUUAUUAGGGAAGAACAUAUGUGUAAGUAACUGUGCACAUCUUGACGGUACCUAAUCAGAAAGCCACGGCUAACUACGUG
RNAcentral lists this ribosomal RNA (497 nucleotides) under uncultured bacterium. RNAcentral describes it as "partial 16S ribosomal RNA". It matches the Rfam family "Bacterial small subunit ribosomal RNA", at positions 28 to 507 of the family's 1533-position model. The record is from RNAcentral.